GUAGUAGGAAGGAAACUGGACCGACCCUUCGGGAGCUUGUACAGGUGCUGCAUGGCUGUCGUCAGCUCGUGUCCGUGAGAUGUUCGGUUAAGUCCGCUAACGAGCGCAACCCUCGCUGUGUGUUACAAGUGUCACACGGAACUGCCGGUCAUAAACCGGAGGAAGGUGGGAUGACGUCAAGUCAGCAUGGCCUUUAUAUCCUGGGCUACACACACGCUACAAUGGGAAGGGACAAUAGGUUGCGAAGCCGCGAGGCGGAGCCAAUCCAGACAAACUUCCCUCAGUUCAGAUUGCAGGCUGCAACCCGCCUGCAUGAAGUUGGAGUUGCUAGUAAACGCAGGUCAGCCAUACUGCGUUGAAUACGUUCCCGGGGCUU
RNAcentral lists this ribosomal RNA (376 nucleotides) under uncultured Anaerolineaceae bacterium. RNAcentral describes it as "bacterial SSU rRNA". It matches the Rfam family "Bacterial small subunit ribosomal RNA", at positions 992 to 1382 of the family's 1533-position model. The record is from RNAcentral. Lineage: Bacteria; Bacillati; Chloroflexota; Anaerolineae; Anaerolineales; Anaerolineaceae.